This 379-nucleotide ribosomal RNA is filed under the name uncultured bacterium. RNAcentral describes it as "partial 16S ribosomal RNA". It matches the Rfam family "Bacterial small subunit ribosomal RNA", at positions 338 to 734 of the family's 1533-position model. The record is from RNAcentral.
CCUACGGGUGGCAGCAGUGGGGAAUAUUGCACAAUGGGGGAAACCCUGAUGCAGCGACGCCGCGUGAGUGAAUAAGUAUUUCGGUACGUAAAGCUCUAUCAGCAGGGAAGAAAAUGACGGUACCUGACUCAGCAGCCCCGGCUAACUACGUGCCAGCAGCCGCGGUCAUACGUAGGGAGCAAGCGUUAUCCGGGUUUACUGGGUGUAAAGGGAGCGUAGACGGCAGUGCAAGUCUGGAGGGAAAGCCCAGGGCUUAACCAUGGAACUGCUUUGGAAACUGUGCAGCUAGAGUGCGGGAGAGGUAAGCGGAAUGCGUAGUGUAGCGGUGAAAUGCGUAGAUAUUAGGAGGAACACCAGUGGCGAAGGCAGCUUACUGGAC